UUUGACCUCAGGUCAGCGGGGGCUA
RNAcentral lists this ribosomal RNA (25 nucleotides) under Cryptandra micrantha. RNAcentral's name for it is "partial 26S ribosomal RNA". Lineage: Eukaryota; Viridiplantae; Streptophyta; Magnoliopsida; Rosales; Rhamnaceae. The record is from RNAcentral.